AACAUCGCCUCCUGCAAAAAUCAAAGUAUAGGAGGUUCCACCUGCCCAGUGACUAUUAGUUAAACGGCCGCGGUAUUUUGACCGUGCUAAGGUAGCGCAAUCACUUGUCUUUUAAAUGAAGACCUGUAUGAAUGGUAUAACGAGGGCUUAACUGUCUCCCUUCUCCAGUCAAUGAAAUUGAUCUACCCGUGCAGAAGCGGGUAUAAAAAUACAAGACGAGAAGACCCUUUGGAGCUUAAGACAAAAAGCCAACCGUGUUAAAAGCCCCCAGCAAAAUUAGGCUAAACAAAACAGCAACUGGCCAACGUCUUCGGUUGGGGCGACCGCGGGGGAAAACAAAGCCCCCAUGUGGACUGGGAAUUUUCCUAAAACUAAGAGAUACAUCUCUAAGUCACAGAACAUCUGACCUAAAGAUCCGGCCCGUCAAGCCGAUCAACGAACCAAGUUACCCUAGGGAUAACAGCGCAAUCCUCUUCAAGAGUCCAUAUCGACAAGAGGGUUUACGACCUCGAUGUUGGAUCAGGACAUCCUAAUGGUGCAGCCGCUAUUAAGGGUUCGUUUGUUCAACGAUUAAAGUCCUACGUGA
Molecule: ribosomal RNA, 586 nt
Filed under: Leporinus fasciatus (banded leporinus)
Lineage: Eukaryota; Metazoa; Chordata; Actinopteri; Characiformes; Anostomidae
Also listed under: 1 other name
Description: partial large subunit ribosomal RNA
Rfam family: Bacterial large subunit ribosomal RNA
Source: RNAcentral